GAUGAACGCUGGCGGCGUGCUUAACACAUGCAAGUCGAACGGAAAGGCCAGUGCUUGCACUGGUACUCGAGUGGCGAACGGGUGAGUAACACGUGGGUGAUCUGCCCUGCACUUCGGGAUAAGCCUGGGAAACUGGGUCUAAUACCGGAUAGGACAAUGGUUUGGAUGCCGUUGUGGAAAGUUUUUUCGGUGUGGGAUGAGCUCGCGGCCUAUCAGCUGGUUGGUGGGGUAAUGGCCUACCAAGGCGUCGACGGGUAGCCGGCCUGAGAGGGUGUACGGCCACAUUGGGACUGAGAUACGACCCAGACGCCUACGGGGGGCAGCAGUGGGGGAUAUUGCACAAUGGGCGCAAGCCUGAUGCAGCGACGCCGCGUGGGGGAUGACGGCCUUCGGGUUGUAAACUCCUUUCGCUGGGGACGAAGCGUAUUUGUGACGGUACCUGGAGAAGAAGCACCGGCUAACUACGGGC
This 469-nucleotide ribosomal RNA is filed under the name uncultured bacterium. Its description in RNAcentral is "partial 16S ribosomal RNA". It matches the Rfam family "Bacterial small subunit ribosomal RNA", at positions 28 to 508 of the family's 1533-position model. The record is from RNAcentral.